Long non-coding RNA from Zea mays, 639 nucleotides. RefSeq lists it as uncharacterized. NCBI's taxonomy places the organism in Eukaryota, Viridiplantae, Streptophyta, Magnoliopsida, Poales, Poaceae. The transcript has 2 exons. The record is from RefSeq and is a predicted model, not a curated record.
AACUAUAGUUCAACCAUACAAAUAAAAGACACAUGUCCAAAUAAAAGAUACAUAGUUCAUCACCAGUGUAACCAUAUUUCAUCCAACCACCAUGAUACAUGAGUUCAUAACACCAUGACAAAACAUAGUUCAUAUAGCCAUAGUUCUAAUCAUGACCCACAAACUAGAAGUUCUCACUAACGAAACUUGAAAACCAUGAUAUCUUCCAAUCGAAUGGUAGAUUCACGAAAGCAUGAGCAUCAUUAGGAUGUCUAACCAAGUGCUGAUAGUACUGAGACUUGUGGUUAAGCUGAAAACCUGGGAGACUGUCCACUGCUUCAAACAAACCAUCUGGAUUAUUUCCCCACUCGUUCAAGUGGUAUCGUACACCAUGAAAAGGGGGCAUAAAUCCAGGUUUAGCUCCAUAUCCGGCAUCGACUAGGUAGAACUUUCCUAUCACGCAAGGGAUAUGUAUGUGAGCUACACUAGGUAUUAUAUUUCAUGACUAAAGUAAUGAGCUACACAAGUUGUAUUUACCUUUAGGCACACAAAGACCAUUUUCUCUUUCUAAAGCAUCACGUAAGACUAGGGCAUCAUGAGCUGUCCCCUCCCAACCAGCCAAGACAAAUGUGAAUCGAAGAUUAAAAUCUAUUGUUGUCA